Non-coding RNA from Nylanderia fulva, 929 nucleotides. NCBI's taxonomy places the organism in Eukaryota, Metazoa, Arthropoda, Insecta, Hymenoptera, Formicidae. The record is from RefSeq and is a predicted model, not a curated record.
GGUCGGAUAUUUUUAACGUUAUUUUAUCAACAAAUUCGUCUCGACAUAACUUGCUAAUCGUAGAAUAUUUUAUCGAUCAAGAGAAGUAUUUUUAUUUAAUAUUGCUACACUCCAUUGCAUCAAUUUGCAUUGCUCUGACUGUAAUAAUGGGGACAGGAACACUGUUCAUGAUAUAUUUUCAACUUAUUUGUGGAAUGUUUACAGUUGCCAGUUAUCGUAUCGAACGCGCAAUGAGUGUCAAUAUGCUACAAGAUAUUAAUCUCAGACAAAAUAUUUUGACAUUUAAGGGUUUAAUUUGUGCUGUGGACAUUCAUCGGCAAGCUAUGAAGUUUGUAUACACUCAAUAAUAUGCGCGAGCCUUGUUAUAUGUAUAAUAACAUAUUUUUAUUUUCAAAGAUUGGCCAAACUCUUCCAGUCCAAUUUAGAAAUAAUGAUGUUCCUUCUAAUAAUAUUUGGAGUACUUUCUGGAUGCCUCAAUAUGUUUCAAAUUGUAUCAUGCAGAGACAAUAUCAGGGAAUUCUUAAUGUCCUCUAUUAACACAAGUGUCCUUGUUAUAUAUGCGUACCUAUCUAACUAUUGCGCUCAGCUUGCAACAGAUCACAAUCAUCAAGUGUUUGUUACCGCGUAAGAGAAACAUAUCUACAAAACAGUAUAACACUCCAUGGUAUUUAGCUCCAUUAUAUAUACAGAAAAUGAUACUGUUUCUCUUACAAAAAACCUCGAAAACUUUUAGGAUAAACAUCGGUGGAAUAUAUGACGGAUCCAUAGAAGGUUUUGCUACGCUAGUGAAGACCGCAUUAUCUUAUUUUACAGUCAUACGUUCUACACAAUGACGAGAUUAUAAUAGUUUAAAUUGACUAAUAGCACGCGUAUAACACAAGAGUGUAAAUCUUAAAAAUACAGAAAAAAUUAUUCAAGAUAUUAUUGCG